AAUAUAUGAUUAACUUAGAAAGGGCCUCAUAGAGAAGAUUAGGCUUAAUCCACAUGGAAAGUUCAGACAUAUGCUUGUCAUGUU
RNAcentral lists this small nucleolar RNA (84 nucleotides) under Oryza sativa Indica Group (long-grained rice). RNAcentral describes it as "Small nucleolar RNA SNORD27". Lineage: Eukaryota; Viridiplantae; Streptophyta; Magnoliopsida; Poales; Poaceae. RNAcentral also lists the same sequence under 1 other name. The record is from RNAcentral.